GACGAACGCUGGCGGCGUGCUUAACACAUGCAAGUCGAACGGUGACGGAGAGCUUGCUCUCCUGAUCAGUGGCGAACGGGUGAGUAACACGUGGGCAACCUGCCCCUGACUUCGGGAUAACGCUCCGAAAGAGGUGCUAAUACCGGAUACGAACCCCGCAGGCAUCUGCGGGCUUGGAAAGUUCCUCGGUCAGGGAUGGGCCCGCGGCCUAUCAGCUUGUUGGUGAGGUAACGGCUCACCAAGGCGACGACGGGUAGCCGGCCUGAGAGGGCGACCGGCAAAACGGUGACUGAGACACGGCCCAGACUCCUACGGGAGGCAGCAGGGGGGAAUAUUGCGCAAUGGGCGAAAGCCUGACGCAGCAACGCCGCGUGAGGGAUGAAGGCCUUCGGGUUGUAAACCUCUUUCAGCAGGGAAGAAGCGAAAGUGACGGUACCUGCAGAAGAAGCACCGGCUAACUACGUGCCAGCCGCCGCAGUAA
RNAcentral lists this ribosomal RNA (481 nucleotides) under uncultured bacterium. Its description in RNAcentral is "partial 16S ribosomal RNA". It matches the Rfam family "Bacterial small subunit ribosomal RNA", at positions 28 to 523 of the family's 1533-position model. The record is from RNAcentral.